UACGUAGGUGGCGAGCGUUGUCCGGAAUGAUUGGGCGUAAAGGGCGCGCAGGCGGCCUGUCAAGUCAGUAGUGGAAGUCAAUUUUUCAAGGAUGGAAGUGCUAUAGAAACUGAUGGGCUUGAGUGCAGGAGAGGUUAUCGGAAUUCCCGGUGUAGCGGUGAAAUGCGUAGAGAUCGGGAGGAACACCAGUGGCGAAGGCGGGUAACUGGACUGCAACUGACGCUGAGGCGCGAAAGUGUGGGGAGCAAACAGGAUUAGAUA
Molecule: ribosomal RNA, 261 nt
Filed under: uncultured prokaryote
Description: partial 16S ribosomal RNA
Rfam family: Bacterial small subunit ribosomal RNA
Source: RNAcentral